CAGCAGCCGCGGUAAUACGUAGGGCGCAAGCGUUGUUCGGAAUUAUUGGGCGUAAAGAGCUCGUAGGCGGUCUGUCGCGUCUGGUGUGAAAUCCCGAGGCUCAACCUCGGGCUUGCAUCGGGUACGGGCAGACUAGAGUGCGGUAGGGGAGACUGGAAUUCCUGGUGUAGCGGUGGAAUGCGCAGAUAUCAGGAGGAACACCGAUGGCGAAGGCAGGUCUCUGGGCCGCAACUGACGCUGAGGAGCGAAAGCAUGGGGAGCGAACAGGAUUAGAUACCCCUGUAGUCCCUGUCUCUUAUAC
This 301-nucleotide ribosomal RNA is filed under the name uncultured bacterium. RNAcentral's name for it is "partial 16S ribosomal RNA". It matches the Rfam family "Bacterial small subunit ribosomal RNA", at positions 509 to 807 of the family's 1533-position model. The record is from RNAcentral.